AUUGAACGCUGGCGGCAGGCCUAACACAUGCAAGUCGAGCGGAUGAAGGGAGCUUGCUCCUGGAUUCAGCGGCGGACGGGUGAGUAAUGCCUAGGAAUCUGCCUGGUAGUGGGGGAUAACGUCCGGAAACGGGCGCUAAUACCGCAUACGUCCUGAGGGAGAAAGUGGUGGAUCUUCGGACCUCACGCUAUCAGAUGAGCCUAGGUCGGAUUAGCUAGUUGGUGGGGUAAAGGCCUACCAAGGCGACGAUCCGUAACUGGUCUGAGAGGAUGAUCAGUCACACUGGAACUGAGACACGGUCCAGAAUCCUACGGGAGGCAGCAGUGGGGAAUAUUGGACAAUGGGCGAAAGCAUGAUCCAGCCAUGCCGCGUGUGUGAAGAAGGUCUUCGGAUUGUAAAGCACUUUAAGUUGGGAGGAAGGGAAGUAAGUUAAUACCUUGCUGGUUUGACGUUACCAACAGAAUAAGCACCGGCUAACUUCGUG
This 484-nucleotide ribosomal RNA is filed under the name uncultured bacterium. RNAcentral describes it as "partial 16S ribosomal RNA". It matches the Rfam family "Bacterial small subunit ribosomal RNA", at positions 30 to 507 of the family's 1533-position model. The record is from RNAcentral.